Molecule: ribosomal RNA, 554 nt
Filed under: uncultured eukaryote
Lineage: Eukaryota
Description: SSU rRNA
Rfam family: Eukaryotic small subunit ribosomal RNA
Source: RNAcentral
CGAUUGUAGUCAUAUGCUUGUCUCAAAGAUUAAGCCAUGCAUGUCUAAGUUCAAGCAAAAAUAAAGUGAAACCGCGAAUGGCUCAUUAUAUCAGUUAUGGUUCCUUAGAUCGCACUUACUACUUGGAUAACUGUGGUAAUUCUAGAGCUAAUACAUGCGCUGGACUCAAACCCUUGUGGAAUGAGUGCUUUUAUUAGAUCAAAGCCAAUCGGGCCUUCGGGUUCGUUUUGUUGGUGACUCUGAAUAACUUUGCUGAUCGCACGGUCUCGCACCGGCGACGUAUCUUUCAAGUGUCUGCCUUAUCAACUGUCGAUGGUAGGUUAUGCGCCUACCAUGGUUGUAACGGGUAACGGGGAAUCAGGGUUCGAUUCCGGAGAAGGAGCCUGAGAGACGGCUACUACAUCCAAGGAAGGCAGCAGGCGCGCAAAUUACCCACUUCCAGUUCGGAGAGGUAGUGACGAAAAAUAACGAUACGGAACUCAUACGAGGCUCCGUAAUCGGAAUGAGUACACUUUAAAUCCUUUAACAAGGAUCAAUUGGAGGGCAAGUCUGGU